CAAUAGCGUAUAUUUAAGUUGUUGCAGUUUAAAAGCUCGUAGUUGGAUUUCUGCUGAUCGCUGUCGGUCUGCCGUCAGGUGUGUACUGGCAGUGUUUGGCAUCUAUUCGAGAUUGGGUGUCCACUUGAUUGUGUGCACUCGAUGUCGGAGCUAAUACUUUGAGAAAAUUAGAGUGUUCCACGCAGGCGCGUGCCUUGAAUACUGCAGCAUGGGAUAUUGGAAGGCCGAUUGAGCUUUCUUGUUGGUUCUCGGUUUGAUCGGAAUGAUUAAUAGGGAUAGUUGGGGGCAUUCGUAUUCAACUGUCAGAGGUGAAAUUCUUGGAUUUGUUGAAGACGGACUACUGCGAAAGCAUCUGCCAUGGAUGUUCUCAUUGA
Molecule: ribosomal RNA, 374 nt
Filed under: uncultured eukaryote
Lineage: Eukaryota
Description: partial 18S ribosomal RNA
Rfam family: Eukaryotic small subunit ribosomal RNA
Source: RNAcentral